Molecule: ribosomal RNA, 1287 nt
Filed under: Acinetobacter baumannii
Lineage: Bacteria; Pseudomonadati; Pseudomonadota; Gammaproteobacteria; Moraxellales; Moraxellaceae
Description: bacterial SSU rRNA
Rfam family: Bacterial small subunit ribosomal RNA
Source: RNAcentral
CAUGCAAGUCGAGCGGGGGAAGGUAGCUUGCUACUGGACCUAGCGGCGGACGGGUGAGUAAUGCUUAGGAAUCUGCCUAUUAGUGGGGGACAACAUCUCGAAAGGGAUGCUAAUACCGCAUACGUCCUACGGGAGAAAGCAGGGGAUCUUCGGACCUUGCGCUAAUAGAUGAGCCUAAGUCGGAUUAGCUAGUUGGUGGGGUAAAGGCCUACCAAGGCGACGAUCUGUAGCGGGUCUGAGAGGAUGAUCCGCCACACUGGGACUGAGACACGGCCCAGACUCCUACGGGAGGCAGCAGUGGGGAAUAUUGGACAAUGGGGGGAACCCUGAUCCAGCCAUGCCGCGUGUGUGAAGAAGGCCUUAUGGUUGUAAAGCACUUUAAGCGAGGAGGAGGCUACUUUAGUUAAUACCUAGAGAUAGUGGACGUUACUCGCAGAAUAAGCACCGGCUAACUCUGUGCCAGCAGCCGCGGUAAUACAGAGGGUGCGAGCGUUAAUCGGAUUUACUGGGCGUAAAGCGUGCGUAGGCGGCUUAUUAAGUCGGAUGUGAAAUCCCCGAGCUUAACUUGGGAAUUGCAUUCGAUACUGGUGAGCUAGAGUAUGGGAGAGGAUGGUAGAAUUCCAGGUGUAGCGGUGAAAUGCGUAGAGAUCUGGAGGAAUACCGAUGGCGAAGGCAGCCAUCUGGCCUAAUACUGACGCUGAGGUACGAAAGCAUGGGGAGCAAACAGGAUUAGAUACCCUGGUAGUCCAUGCCGUAAACGAUGUCUACUAGCCGUUGGGGCCUUUGAGGCUUUAGUGGCGCAGCUAACGCGAUAAGUAGACCGCCUGGGGAGUACGGUCGCAAGACUAAAACUCAAAUGAAUUGACGGGGGCCCGCACAAGCGGUGGAGCAUGUGGUUUAAUUCGAUGCAACGCGAAGAACCUUACCUGGCCUUGACAUACUAGAAACUUUCCAGAGAUGGAUUGGUGCCUUCGGGAAUCUAGAUACAGGUGCUGCAUGGCUGUCGUCAGCUCGUGUCGUGAGAUGUUGGGUUAAGUCCCGCAACGAGCGCAACCCUUUUCCUUACUUGCCAGCAUUUCGGAUGGGAACUUUAAGGAUACUGCCAGUGACAAACUGGAGGAAGGCGGGGACGACGUCAAGUCAUCAUGGCCCUUACGGCCAGGGCUACACACGUGCUACAAUGGUCGGUACAAAGGGUUGCUACACAGCGAUGUGAUGCUAAUCUCAAAAAGCCGAUCGUAGUCCGGAUUGGAGUCUGCAACUCGACUCCAUGAAGUCGGAAUCGCU